AACGAACGCUGGCGGCAGGCUUAACACAUGCAAGUCGAACGCGUGUAGCAAUACACGAGUGGCGCACGGGUGAGUAACGCGUGGAUAUCUGCCUUUUGGUUCGGAAUAACCCCGGGAAACUGGGGCUAAUACCGGAUGGUUCCUUCGGGAUAAAGAUUUAUCGCCAAAAGAUGAGUCCGCGUACGAUUAGCUAGUUGGUGAGGUAAUAGCUCACCAAGGCGACGAUCGUUAGCUGGUCNGAGAGGACGAUCAGCCACACUGGGACUGAGACACGGCCCAGACUCCUACGGGAGGCAGCAGUGGGGAAUAUUGGACAAUGGGGGCAACCCUGAUCCAGCCAUGCCGCGUGAGUGAUGAAGGCCUUGGUU
RNAcentral lists this ribosomal RNA (368 nucleotides) under uncultured bacterium. RNAcentral's name for it is "bacterial SSU rRNA". It matches the Rfam family "Bacterial small subunit ribosomal RNA", at positions 29 to 424 of the family's 1533-position model. The record is from RNAcentral.